UGGGGAAUAUUGGACAAUGGGCGAAAGCCUGAUCCAGCCAUGCCGCGUGUGUGAAGAAGGUCUUCGGAUUGUAAAGCACUUUAAGUUGGGAGGAAGGGCAUUAACCUAAUACGUUAGUGUUUUGACGUUACCGACAGAAUAAGCACCGGCUAACUCUGUGCCAGCAGCCGCGGUAAUACAGAGGGUGCAAGCGUUAAUCGGAAUUACUGGGCGUAAAGCGCGCGUAGGUGGUUUGUUAAGUUGGAUGUGAAAUCCCCGGGCUCAACCUGGGAACUGCAUUCAAAACUGACUGACUAGAGUAUGGUAGAGGGUGGUGGAAUAUACUGUGUAGCGGUGAAAUGCGUAGAUAUAGGAAGGAACACCAGUGGAGAAGGCGACAACCUGGACUAAUACUGAUACUGAGGUGGGAAAGCGUGGGGGGCAAACA
Molecule: ribosomal RNA, 427 nt
Filed under: uncultured bacterium
Lineage: Bacteria
Description: partial 16S ribosomal RNA
Rfam family: Bacterial small subunit ribosomal RNA
Source: RNAcentral